GGGGUGGUGGCGCAACGGGUACGUUACACACAAGGUUUCAGUCACAACUCCUUCUGACUCUAUUAUAGUAGCGCGUUGGAUUCCAGACCCAAAGGUUGCGUGUUCAAAUCACGUCCGCCUCA
Molecule: transfer RNA, 122 nt
Filed under: Stachybotrys chartarum IBT 40288
Lineage: Eukaryota; Fungi; Ascomycota; Sordariomycetes; Hypocreales; Stachybotryaceae
Description: tRNA-Trp (CCA) (tRNA-Trp-CCA-2-1)
Rfam family: tRNA
About the family: Transfer RNA (tRNA) molecules are approximately 80 nucleotides in length.
Source: RNAcentral